CCUACGGGCGGCUGCAGUGAGGAAUAUUGGUCAAUGGCCGGAAGGCUGAACCAGCCAUGCCGCGUGAAGGUCAGUGCCCUAUGGGCGUUAAACUUCUUUUGUGCGGGAGCAAUAAUGGUAACGGGUGGCCAGACGAGAGUACCGUACGAAUAAGCAUCGGCUAACUCCGGGCCAGCAGCCGCGGUAAUACGGGGGAGGCAAGCGUUAUCCGGAGUUAUUGGGGUGAAAGGGGGCGUAGGCUGUGAGGUAAGUCAGCGGUGCAAUGCCCCCGCUCAAGGGGGUGAAGGGCCAUUGAUACUGCCUUGCUGGAAUGCGGAUGCCGUGGGAGGAAUGUGUGGUG
This 340-nucleotide ribosomal RNA is filed under the name uncultured bacterium. RNAcentral's name for it is "partial 16S ribosomal RNA". It matches the Rfam family "Bacterial small subunit ribosomal RNA", at positions 338 to 675 of the family's 1533-position model. The record is from RNAcentral.